RNAcentral lists this long non-coding RNA (645 nucleotides) under Homo sapiens (human). Its description in RNAcentral is "HSALNT0303868". The record is from RNAcentral. Lineage: Eukaryota; Metazoa; Chordata; Mammalia; Primates; Hominidae.
AGAGCCGCUAGGGUGUGGAGGGUCCAGGAAGGCGGUCACAGACGCUGCCUCAGCUAGCUGCCUUCUCAGGUCACAGAGCCGUGCAGAUCCAGGUCCUGGGUGACCACUCUGUCCCGAAUGAGCAAGAGACGUACCUAGUCCUGACGACAAGGGACAACGGCCUUAACGGGCCUGGAAGUGCCAGUAGAACGUAUGUCUGAAACUCUCCCCUUUCUGCCUGAAGUUAGAAGACUACAUGUUGAAAGUUUGCUUUGAGCUUGGUUCUUCUUGAACAUGCAGCUUCAAAUCAAUGUCUGUCUGCUCAUAAGUUCAACCAAACCAGGACUGCCACUGGCUGCUAAAGGGAAGAAAAGGCUCCAUGAAGAAUUCCAGCGUACCUCCUGCCCUGGCAGCCAUUCUGCUGUUUCUAUGGAAACAUUCACCAGAUAGCAGCAUGCUAUACUGUGCAAGUGAAGAAGAAGGCAUCUUCCUUUCAUCACCACAUCUAGAGUGUGACCACUUCACAGAAUGAAAGAAUGUGGUGAACACAGUUCUUUAUUCUGACAGAUAAAUCGUUCAAGAGAAAGGGGCCAGAUGCCAGUGACAUUUUCUUGGACUUCCCAGCCUUUAGAACCAUGAUCCAAAUAAACUUGUAUUGUUUAUAAA